Molecule: ribosomal RNA, 371 nt
Filed under: uncultured bacterium
Lineage: Bacteria
Description: bacterial SSU rRNA
Rfam family: Bacterial small subunit ribosomal RNA
Source: RNAcentral
AGAGGUCUCAAGCGUUGUUCGGAUUCAUUGGGCGUAAAGGGUGUGUAGGUGGCGCGCUAAGUCGGGUGUGAAAUUUCGGAGCUUAACUCCGAAACUGCAUUCGAUACUGGCGUGCUUGAGGACUGGAGAGGAGACUGGAAUUUACGGUGUAGCAGUGAAAUGCGUAGAUAUCGUAAGGAAGACCAGAGGCGAAGGCGGGUCUCUGGACAGUUCCUGACACUGAGACACGAAGGCCAGGGGAGCAAACGGGAUUAGAUACCCCGGUAGUCCUGGCAGUAAACGGUGCACGUUUGGUGUGGGAGGAUUCGACCCCUUCUGCGCCGGAGCUAACGCGUUAAACGUGCCGCCUGGGAAGUACGGUCGCAAGACUA